Molecule: ribosomal RNA, 387 nt
Filed under: uncultured bacterium
Lineage: Bacteria
Description: bacterial SSU rRNA
Rfam family: Bacterial small subunit ribosomal RNA
Source: RNAcentral
GACGAACGCUGGCGGCGUGCUUAACACAUGCAAGUCGAGCGGUAAGGCCCUUUCGGGGGUACACGAGCGGCGAACGGGUGAGUAACACGUGGGUGACCUGCCCUCAGCUCUGGGAUAAGCCUGGGAAACUGGGUCUAAUACCGGAUAUGACCCCAUGACGCAUGUUGUGGGGUGGAAAGCCUUGUGCGGCUGAGGAUGGGCCCGCGGCCUAUCAGCUUGUUGGUGGGGUAAUGGCCACCAAGGCGACGACGGGUAGCCGGCCUGAGAGGGCGACCGGCCACACUGGGACUGAGACACGGCCCAGACUCCUACGGGAGGCAGCAGUGGGGAAUCUUGCGCAAUGGGCGAAAGCCUGACGCAGCGACGCCGCGUGAGGGAUGACGGCCU